GGCACUGUUAAUAGUAAGCUUACCCUCAGCUCUCUACUCAAUACUUGGGAUAAGCCUCUGGGAAUUAGAAAGAGCUCUUUUGAAAACAUGUUGUCUUAGCCCAGAAGAACUCAGUCAGGUCAUGUUCAAGGCUUUCCCCACAACUCAGUUCAGCUCUCAGGAGCAUACUGACUAGAUAGAUGACCUUCUAAAUUGAUUCAAUCCGAUGAUGCCGAUUAGAAAUGAGUGCCAGACUCCACAUUUAAAAGAGUUUGGUCCCACAAAAUGUCUCCUCCUCCAGAUGACUGACAGGCUGGCCCUCUCAUACUUGCGAUUCGCGGUCUUUAAACAGGUUGUAUUUUUAGUGACGUUUUAUAUCAUUAUUAUGCAAGCAGGGUGUGUUUUGACUUCAGCAUGAUACCUUCAACCAUAUGGUCUUAUCAUUUAGUUCUGGUGGACAAAUUUUGAAUGGCAAGAGCUUGUGAUUUGGGGGAUGGUAGUUAUGGGGGUCUCUUAGUUGGGGUUUCAGUUGCCACGAAAAGACACCAUGAUCACAGCAACUCUUAUAAAGGAAAAACAUUUAAUUGGGGUAAUUUACAUUUUCAGAAGUUUAGUCCAUUAUCAUCAUGAUGCGUCAUGGUGGCAUGCAGGCAGACAUGGUGCUGGAGAAGGAGCUGAGAAUCUUACAUCUUGACCUGCAGCCAAUAAGAAGUGGUCUGACACACUGGAUAUGGCUUGAACAAAUAGGAGACCUCAAAAUCCACCUCCACAGUGACACUCUUCCUCCAACAAGGCCACACCUAAUCCAAUAAGCCACACCUACUAAUAGUGCCACUCUCUGGUUUUAUGGGGACCAAUUAUAUUCAAACUACCUGGACUCUUCCUGACCAGCAACGUACAAGGAAGUAUCCCACUCCUGAUAAUGGGUUUCUUUGUUUAAUGACCUAUGGCUUCUAAGAGCAGCUUUGUCUAGCUAUGUAUAGUAUUUCCCUUCAAAUUCUUUUAAAAACCUAUAGUUCUAAUUUGUUACGAAAUAGUGGUUUCCCUAUGCCUUCUUCAUAGCCCCUUUAUUUAAGUUGUUUCUCUACCAUUAUGUAUUUUUAUGCUUUCCUGGAAUAUUGAUGUAGAGAUGCUUAUAUUUCCAGUUAAUACCUAUUUUACUUGGAAUUUUUUGCAUAAAUACACACAUAUAUAGUGAACACCUUGAACGCAGGAACACAUAUCCAUCUAUAACAUGUUUACUAUGGGAAUAAUAAAUCACUCAGUCAUUUUGUUAUUGAUGGACACAUAGGUUAUUUUCUCCUAGAAAAUAUAACUAUUACAGAAAUGCUUCUUCCGAAAGUAGACUCUCUCUCAAGGUCGAAGGAAUUGAUCACUAAAUGACAACAUCAAACAGCCUUCAUAUAGUUUGGACCAAUUCAGACUUCGGCUAGCACCAUGUACAGUUCCUUGAUCCCCACACUGAACUGUUAAGGCGGCACUGGCCUGUUUAAAGUUCAGUAGAAGUAUAACCUACAAUGAGGACAUCUUCUCCCACUGUCCAGGAGGUUCAAAUUUAUGACCUUUUUAGGGAUUCGAGUUUUCUCUAGGAGACCAUGAUUAAAAUGCAAAAUCAGGCGACGUGGGACAGUUCAUAGUCUUUUGUCUCUCUCUUUCUGUCUCUCUUGUUCUUUCUUCUUCUUAUGUGUGUGUGCACGCAUGUGCACGCAUGCAUAUGUGUGUGCAGACAUAGCAAGAGUAAUUAUAAAUAUGGGUAUAGUAACAUAUGGUCCAGAUGUUUUCUAGAGGAAAAAAAAACCUUCAUUAUAUUAUCUUAUAAGAAAAUGCCAUGUAGUUUAUUUAUAUAACUGCAUCUCCAACUCUACAAAGGUCAUCGGCCAGUUUAUUUGUUUUGCUUUUUAAACUCAGGAUGUACCAUCACCGGGGUAUGGUUAGUAUCUAGAAAGGACAGAUCAGUGUUCCAGCUCAGGCAGGCAUGAGAGAAAUGUCACCGCAGGAAGUGAAAUCUUGAGUUCCCGGGGGGUCAUCAGGCAGGCUUACAGUGGGGGGCAGGGUCCUGUCUCCGGUUGUUCUAGCACUGUUCUCAAAUAGUGUAAAAUAAUACAGCCCACUCCCAGAAUUCUGAGCUAGGGCUCCGGCUUUCUCUAAGGGUAAGCUUGUCCUCAUUUGCUCUCCGUUCAUCGUGUCUCUGUGUCUCCCUUUCAGGGUGAAGUGUGGGAGGCAAGAAUUGGAAAGUGCACCGGUUUCCUAAGGCUGAAUGGGGACUUGGGGUGUUUCUGUUUAAAUCUCACUAAUGUAUUCCAAACAGGGAGCCUUAGGCUUUCUCCCCCACAGCCCCCCGCUCCGUGUCCUGCUUUAAUUUGUGGUUAUUGCCACGGCUUUGCUUGGCUUCUCUUGCUCUCCCUAGCUAAGAUAUCCAUAUUCAACAGGGAAGGACACCCAGGCAAGUCCUAUGGUUGGAAUGGAAGAUCUUUUCAAAAAGCCUUGAGAUGUGUUAUUUGAAACAGACCAGAAAGCAUGUGGCCAGAACAUGGGAGAGAUUUGCAAUAGCCAGAAGAAUAAGAUGAGGGAGGAAAAAGAGCAAUGGAGACAGGGAGAAGGGAGCCAGAUGCCUCUGAGGGGCUGCCACACAAGUUGUUAAUGGCUGUGGGAUGGAAGGGGAAGAUUGCUGGCUUCUCAGGAGUGCUUUUUUGGGCGAGUGCAAUGAUUCUUCUUCAGGGAACAAGAAACACAAUGAAGAAACAAAGGUCCAAGUUGCUCCCCAGAGACGAGCUAAGGAAAACGGCCCACAUCCUCCUCAGCAGUCAUGUUUCUGAGACGUUCUGUCGCCCCUCCCCUCUUUUUUUUGUUUUGUUUUUGUUUUUGUUUUCAACCUACCUGCAAUAAACUAAUCCACGAUGGCUUAAUGUCAUUACACUUCUCAUUUCUGAUGGUGAUCCAGCUUAAAGGGGAGCAGGCACUGGGACCCUCUCCUGUUCCAAUCCGUGUGAGGGAUGAGGAGAAGAAAGGAUUAAGGAACUGUCUUUCCUCUUUCCACCAUUUUCUUUCCAGCCAUUCUCCAUCUUGUCAUGUCUUGGCAGCCGCGCCAGCCGGUGACAUUUUCUUUCUCUGCAGUGUGAAGGGACGUGGGCCACCGCACCGCUGGGUACCACGUGCGGCAGAUGCAGCCGAAACUGCAAGAGAGUACCCUUCAGCCCCCAGCUCAUCCCGGAAUUUCAUUGAGAAAAAUCCUCACCGCCUCCCAGCCAGACUUUAAUUUCUCCUUCAUCUUGGCACUGGGUGCACAGGAAGCAGCCCAGUUGGAGCUUCCAGGAGGGCACAGGCACUUUUUAAACAGCUAUCCUGAGCCCUUACCACUCUGGGAGAGCACGCCUCUCCCGGCUCAAGUUUCACUGGUCUAGCUGACCCACACUUCACCCGGCUCUCUCGAGGCCCCUAGAAGUCUUAAGCUCCACUAGGCGGCUUCCUGAGUGUCCAUGUGGGCGCCUGAGGGCAAACACCUAGGUAUCUGCAGAACAGCUGAAUGCAUCUUAGGAAGCUGAUGAAUUAUUCAGUAGGCCAAACAGACCGGUCACAAGGGAGCCUUGCUGGGAGGCAAGUAAGUGGGACCUUAAUAGUGGGACCUUAAUUUGAGAGAUGUUUAAUAGGCUGCGACAUAAAAAAAAAAAAAAAAACCCUCAUGUCUUGGUGAACAGCAGUUUGGGGCAAAGCAAGAGCAGAAAAUCCACUGUGUUUUGUAGCGAAGUGGCUGAUGCCAUGACCGGCUUCUCUUUGCCUCCACCGACUCUGCCUAACACCCUUGCAAGCUGAGUUGACUUGGAACGCAGCAACAAUAAAUGGCUUUUGUUAAGGAUUGGUCCUGAGAUAGAAUGUAAUAGCCACCCUUUGGACAGCUGUUACUGAGCAGUCACAAUAAUGUCACAGUGCAGUAAAUCUCUUCCACGGGACACUGUCCUGGCCAGUUUUAUUGAUGGCUUUACGCUGAUGGGUUCAGAUGAGAAAGCAGCCACAGCUCUUGUUAGACAUGUUGGAAAACCAUUUGUCUGCCCGAGACUGGGAAAUGAAUUCCACAAAAAUUGGGAGCCUUCCACCAGACUGCAAUUUCUGUCUGUGGUCUGAAACGUGCUGAGAUACUCCUUCGAAGGUAAAGGAAAAAUGGUUGCGUGGGACAAAGAAAGACGCAGCACGGGCCUUUUGAUUUCAGAGGCAUUAAGGGCCUCUAAAUUUGAAUGUGCCAUGCCAUCAAAAUGAGACAAAAACAUAUGAGAUUUUUAGUAAAUCCAGAGUAAAAGCUGGCUUUGCAGCAGGUCCAGGCUGUCUUUCGAUCUGGAACACAGCUCAGUCAGGAAAUUACUACUACACAGCAUGAAGACCCAAGUUUGGAUCCCUAGUCCUUAGGCAAAAGACAGGUCUUGUGGCUGUACAUCUACAAUCCUAGAGGUGAAAAGGUAAAGGCUAGAAGAUGCUUGGGGCUAGCUGGCAAGCCAGUGCAGCCAAUCAGAGAGCUCCAGGCUAAGUGAGAGACAUGAUCACACACACACACACACACACACACACACACACACACACACACACACACAGAUACGUGAGGAUGUGUGAGAUAAGAGAUGCCUCAGUGGUUAAGACUACUGACUGCUCUUGCAGGAGCCCCAGUUUCAUUUCCAUCACUCAGUGACUAACAACUGCCUCUAACGCCAGUUCCGGCAGGUCUGAUGCCCUCUUCUGGUCUCUGGAGGCACUGCAUGCAUAUGAUGUGCAGACCUGACUAACGUGUAGGCAAAAUACCUAUACACAUAAAAAAAAAAUCAUUCUAAAAGAAUAAUAAGGCGGAGAAGUAAUUGAGGAAUGACACCUGGUGGUAACCUCUGGCUUCCACACACAUGUGUACAUACAUAUGUACAUGUAAACACACACACAUACACAGCAAUACUGAGUAAUAUCUGGAGCUCCUUAAUAGGCAAUCUUCUCUAAGGAGAAUGUUAUGAACAAUACUGAAAAAAAAAUCAAUCACAUUUUCUUCCUUCUUUUUCUUUUGUAUACUAUUCUUCAGAUUGUAUUGAUUUUCAUUAGCUAUGGAUCAUAUAUUUUAUUAUUUAAUCCAAGAGGCUGGAGAGAACCGGAAUGAAGAAAACCUUCUAUGUGUUCAUCAGUCUGCUGUCUAGACUCAACUUCCAGGCAAGCGAGCAGCGAACACAUGGUUCCUGCCCACAAACAACAAUCCCAUUUCACUUUCUUGCUCUUUAAUUCCUUAAAAAACAUAGGACUUGGAGCUGGAUGUCAUGGCGCACACCUUUAAUUCUAAUACUUGGGAGGCUGGGGAGGAUGGAAAUUUGUGAGUUCUAGUUCAGCCUGGUCUACAGGGCAAGUUCCAGGACAGUCAGAGAUACAUGGAGACCCCCUCUCAGUACAACAACCCAACAACAACAACAAGCCAACAACAACCACCACCACACAACAACAACACAACAGUAGCAACAUAACAACAACUCAACAACAAGCUAACAACAAGUCAACAACCACCACCACCACCACCAACAAGCCAACAAUAAGCCAACAGCAGCAACAACAACAAUCCAACAAUAACAACCACGCAACAGCAAAAUCACAAAUUUGGACAUAGGUACCUAGAGUAAUUUUCUGUAUAUAAUGAGACUCUUGAGCAUGUUCAAUUUCCUGCUCAGUUUCCCUGGGUAGUUACUAUAGUGAUCUCUGAAGUUUUCAGUCUGUGAUAGUGCACAUGAGAGGUUUCCUUGCUCCCAAGAGAACAAUUCAAAACUCAUUUCUCUCUAGAAUACUCUUCCUGCCGCUUCCUUUGAUCUCUUAUUAGCAGCCCCUAAUACGUGUAAGCCCCUUUACAUGCUUAAUACUAACAAAAUUAUUAUAAUAGGUAAAUUAUUCCUUAGAGAAGAUGAGUUCCCUAUACAUUACAUAUGUGAGGGGGGAGAAGUUGAGUGGAUUAUGAGAUAAUCUAAGACUCAAACAAUGGUAUUCAAAUUUUUCUGUCUCAUAGAAAUCAAUUUAAACUCUUUUUUUUUUUUUUUUUUUUUUUUGGCUUCUAUCUGGUAUAUCUGCCUUGAGCCCUGGAUCUCCUAGGUUUUUGUGAGGACUCUGAUGUCUUAAUCUUUUGUUCCUAAACAUCCUAGGGAAAUUCUUUUCUAAUGAGAUAUAGGAGCAGUUACCAAUCCUGACCUAUUUGACAACCCUGGAUCUGUCAAUGCAGCUGAAAACAAUGACUGCUCAUUUAUUAAAAGUAAACUGUUUUUCUCGGUCCUGCCCGUCAACGGCACGGAGAAGGUAACAUGAGGGGACUUGGAUAUUUUCAGAGGCUGUGUGCUUCAGCCCUGUUUCCCCUGCUGCCUACAGAUACUUGCCCCUCUUCUGUCAUCUCCAGAGAUCUCUUCUUUGAAACUCCCACCAGUGGUUUCUCGAAAUGUUCCCAGGAUAAGCAACCUGAUCUUCACUGAGAGAACGUACAAGAAAUACAAAUUCGCUGGGUAUACUGAGUCCACACUCCUGAGUGAGGCCGACCUAGCUUUGUUUUGAGCACUGCAGACCUGGAAUCUUGUGGAGAAGACAUGGAAUCAACCUACAUCAUUGAUUACCGAGCUGUUUUUUGGCACCACGUGGUAUCUUCUGGUAUCACGAAAGCUAGUGGUCAGGAAAGCGUCUUUCAGCAGGUCAAGACCCAUGAUUCGAUUAUCUGGCAUUGAGUGAAUGUGUUCGAGGAAGACUUUAAAUAGAAACUCAGCCCGGUGCUCAAGCUUGGUUCGUUCAGCCUCUUCCACCCCAACGUUCGGAGGGCCGCGCUUGCAAUCAUCUCUCAGGCUCUCAUUUACCCCGGGAUGGACCAGCUUUCGAGCCUGGCCUUGCAAAUCAAGUUUUGACAACAACCACCCAUCCUGCUGAAAAUCUGCUUUUCUGUUUUGAAUUAUAAUUCUCUUGAGCCUUUUGACUAUGACCAGAGAUACCAUGAAAUCAGAAUCGCCCACAUCACAGGUCGACCUCAGAUGACAUGAUUACAGAUCGUUGAAGAAAGGAACUGGGAUCUUCACAGGAAAAGCAAAAGGCUAAACAUAUAGCAUACUUUGCAGAACUUCACACUGUGCUUUCAACAGCAAUGGGAAAUGAACUGAAUGCGGCAUAGCUUGAGCAUUGGAGACCUCAAAGCCCACCCCAGCAAUGACACACUUCCUCUAACAAGGCCACACCUACUUCAAGAAGGCCACACCUCCUAAUAGUGCCACUCCCUGUGAGCAUAAGGGAGCCAAUUACAUUCCAACUGCUACAGUGGUUGUGAUUCAAAGCUACCAGACGGCACAUGAAGACAAUGAUAUUUACUCUUUGAAAUUACAAGAAACUUGCAACUUCCAUCCCGAAGCAUUUGAUGGAUCCUGGGGGAGAGGAGGAGAAGCUUCUUGCCGAUUACCCAGUAGGCUUGCAACACUCAUCUAUCAAGCUAAAUAUCGACAAGGUGCCAGAAUUGCAAUUGUGACCAGCAAAUCUUAAUCUAACGGGACAUAACAUUUUCUUCUUCUCUGCUUGUUUAACAUUUGUUUGCCCCGAACAUAGAAGAAGGGUUUCUAUGUUAAAAAGGGUUGAUGAUGCUCUCAUGAAUUCAAUGAAAUGAAGGAGGGAUGUCAGCAUCGCUACUGAGACAGUGAAGAUUCACCCACCAAACCAGGGAAUUCCUAGGGGAUCAGGUCACUUCCCAGUGUUCCUCAUGCAUGGAAGGCCAUUUUCCUACUAGAGUACCAAAGAACUGGUCUUUGCCAUGCUUAAACUCAAAGUUUGAUUUAGCCUGAUAUUAGCAUGGCUCUUCCAGGUCCCUUUAACAGUAUGUUGGCAAAGAAGUGAAAAAAAAAUCAUUCAAAUUGAAACAUUUUAGCAACUGGUAGAAUUUGGAUAGAGCAGUGUUGUUAAAAUGCCAUCCUUUGGCAGUUUUGUUGAAUGGCUUCAUUUGUCUAGAAGGAGCUGUGACCUCUGGCCCCCGGGGUAAGUGGCACAACAGAGUUCUUACCCAGUAAGAGUUGCAUGCUUGAUUCUGUGGACAACUGACGGCCAUACCCUCUGCUGAACUUGGGACUAUGGGAAGCAAUGCUUGGUCAGACUGGAGCCUGGACCAUACACUCAUUUCACAUGGCUCAUUGAACAGUUGGUUACACGAUGCUUCUCUGACUCCUUCUGUUGACCUUGCUCUGACCAGCCAAGUGUCGGAUUACUAAUUAUCCCUAAAACACUGCUAUGUAAAUGUCAUUUGAUUUUUCACCUCUGCUUUUGGAUGCCACUCUGUUCAGAAGGAGUCGUUUGUAAUAGUCGCAGGAGCUGACUGAUGGGAUGAUACUCUGUCGCUGCCAUGAGCACGACCACCAAACAAGUGUUUAUUUAAUCAAGCAGUAACAGCCAGAGCAAUGAAGAAGAAGGAAACGAAAAUCUACGCUGCAUUUCUUGUGGAAGUUUCACUGUGUUCUAGGCUUCCAUUUCUUACUGAUUGACACUGUGCGCGUUUCUGUGCCAUAUGGAAAUAACAAACCGCCAUCUGGGGGUUUCAUCUUUUUCCUUUGAAGCCAGGGUGUCUCUGAAGAUUAUGCUUUGCCUACUUGGCAAGGAAAUCAUGCUUUAGCUUCAAAUGAUUAGAAAAUACAGAUAGUGAUUCCUCUCUGACUAGACCCCGAAGACUAGCUCAUGUAGAUAUCAGAAUUCCUAAUGAAAACCCUCCCCAUUGCAGCCCCAAAUUUGCCUUCUGUUGUUAUACUGUACUUGCUAAGAUAUAGGAAGAAAAGGGUUUUGGACCUUUACAUUUUUUUACGAUCCAUUGGUUUCAGCUUAUGAAAUGCUGUACAAGGCAGCUUGAGCAAGGUACUUCAGACACGGGUAGGCAUUGUUGGUGGGGUAGAAGAAAUACUAAGACACAGUUAACACUUACUUGGAUCCAAGCACUUGAUUUGCUUUCUCUUUAGUAGGUUAUUUAGAGCCACUAAAAUUAGGGAACUCUAUGAACUUCUUAAAUAUUACUAAAUUCUAAGGGUUCUGAUUUAAAACAAGAACCUAAGCUUAUUUGAUUCAUCUACAAAUCAACUCCAAAGCCAGAGCAAGGGUCUAAACCUCAGUAAUGUUGAUUGUUUUAUUGCAUUUUAAAAUAAAAUAUUUCCUUGUCUUUGUCUUAGUUGCCUUUCAAACAGCUAACCCAUAUUUACUUAAACCAGAGGACAAGCAAAAAACAUACUCAUUUUUGAAUAUGAACGACAAGGUUACUUUAGUUCUUUCUUUAAAUGUUUAUUGUAUAUCUUCCAUAUACCCACUCCAAAGUCAGUAUUCAGAAAUCAAAAGGCUCAGUUCCACCCUCAUGAAGGUAUAACCCCUUCCAAGAAAUGAUAUGUUAUGUUAAAUUACAACAGAUAUAAAUCCACACGCAAAAUAACAAAUAUAAUAACUCGGAAGAUAAUUGUGUGAUCAUAUACUCUGUUCUAUCAUGUGAGUAAAUUUUCUAUUAUAUUAAAGACUAACAUACU
This is a long non-coding RNA of Alexandromys fortis (reed vole), 9488 nucleotides long. RefSeq lists it as uncharacterized. The record is from RefSeq and is a predicted model, not a curated record. The transcript is spliced from 6 exons. NCBI's taxonomy places the organism in Eukaryota, Metazoa, Chordata, Mammalia, Rodentia, Cricetidae.